Molecule: ribosomal RNA, 251 nt
Filed under: uncultured prokaryote
Description: partial 16S rRNA
Rfam family: Bacterial small subunit ribosomal RNA
Source: RNAcentral
ACGGAGGGUGCAAGCGUUGUCCGGAUUUAUUGGGCGUAAAGCGCGUGUAGGCGGCUCGUUAAGUCGGAGGUGAAAUCCUGCGGCUCAACUGCAGAACUGCCUUCGAUACUGGCGAGCUUGAGUGCGAGAGGGGUAGGUGGAAUUCCUGGUGUAGAGGUGAAAUUCGUAGAUAUCGGGAAGAACACCGGUGGCGAAGGCGGCCUACUGGUUCGUAACUGACGCUGAGGCGCGAAAGCGUGGGGAGCAAACAG